AUGGAUUACAACCCUGAGAAGCAGGGAAGUUCAAGGGAACAACAGGUGCACGACACUAUCAUUGCUGGACAAAAUUGAGGUUGAACAGAAAGAUGCCGCACAGGGAACGAGCAUGUCACUCAAACUGUUUGACCGGAAAACCUGGAGCAAGAGGAAACUUCCGCACAAGACUACAAAAAAAAGUAGACGUAGAAGUCCAUGUAUACGGGAGAGCACCUUUGGUGGAAGAGGCUUGUCGGCCGACACUGUUAUUUGAUUCACCUUGGGGUUGACAGUUUUGUUCCUGAGAACUUCAUGUGCGUACAGCGGGGCAGAAUCAACAAGUUAGUCAACAAUUUGAUGCAGCCUUUCUGGACACAAGAUGGAACGGCGACUAGGUUGCUAUUCAGGGCAAACCGUAGCAGAGAGCAGGCAUUCAUGCGCUCGUCACAGGCAACACCAGAGAAAUUGGACUCCAUUACAUAAAUGGCAUGCCACAUUGAGGGCCUACAUUGAGGGCCACCAGACUAACCUUGUAAAAGAAGCAAAGCUAGAACUAGUCAGGUGAAUCUUUGGAGAUUUGGUUUUGGAGAUGUUGCCCAGCAAGGCAAAAACAGAAAAGUGACACAAUAAAGAAAAUAAAUCUGGGAA
This is a long non-coding RNA of Ornithodoros turicata, 630 nucleotides long. RefSeq lists it as uncharacterized. NCBI's taxonomy places the organism in Eukaryota, Metazoa, Arthropoda, Arachnida, Ixodida, Argasidae. The transcript has 5 exons. The record is from RefSeq and is a predicted model, not a curated record.